Molecule: ribosomal RNA, 778 nt
Filed under: uncultured Neocallimastigales
Lineage: Eukaryota; Fungi; Neocallimastigomycota; Neocallimastigomycetes; Neocallimastigales
Description: partial large subunit ribosomal RNA
Rfam family: Eukaryotic large subunit ribosomal RNA
Source: RNAcentral
CGCAUCUGUGCAUGCAGCAUAUCAAUAAGCGGAGGAAAAGAAACUAACAAGGAUUCCCCUAGUAACGGCGAGUGAAGCGGGAAGAGCUCAAAUUUGAAAUCUUAAAGGGUUUCCCUUUACGAAUUGUAGUUUAAAGAAGUGUUUUUCUGUUGAGGUUUUGGUAAAAGUUCUUUGGAAUAGGACAUCAUAGAGGGUGUAGAAUCCCGUAUUUGACCUUUACUUUCAACUUUGUGAUACACUUUCAAAGAGUCGGAUUGUUUGGGAAUGCAGUCCAAAAUGGGUGGUAAAUUUCAUCUAAAGCUAAAUAUUGGCGAGAGACCGAUAGCGAACAAGUACCGUGAGGGAAAGAUGAAAAGAACUUUGAAAAGAGAGUUAAACAGUACGUGAAAUUGUCAAAAGGGAAGCGUUUGACACCAGUGUUGUUUUUCUGAAAAUCAAUUAAAGAACUGUUUAUGCUAAGUUGUUUAGACUUUAUCAGCUUACUGCUUUAGUUUUGAGCUUUUCUUUAAUGCACUUUUCAGUUAACAAGUCAACAUCAAUUUCUUUUGCUGUAAAAAAAGCUUGAGGAAGGUGGCUUGAGAUUCGUCUUAAGUGUUUAUAGCCUCUUGCCUAUGCAGUCGGAGAGAUUGAGGUCUGCAGCGUAGAUCCUUCGGGGCUAAAUGCAUUUGUGCUAAGUUAUAGCAUUUUAUAGACAACUUGUUGACUAUGAUUUGUCUUGUAGCUUACUCGCUUAUGUUAUUUUACCUACGCUUAGGAUGUUGAGCGCAUGUCUCUCUCU